AACGAACGCUGGCGGCAUGCCUAACACAUGCAAGUCGAACGAGACCUUCGGGUCUAGUGGCGCACGGGUGCGUAACGCGUGGGAACCUGCCCUUAGGUUCGGAAUAACUCCCCGAAAGGGGUGCUAAUACCGGAUAAUGUCUUCGGACCAAAGAUUUAUCGCCUUUGGAUGGGCCCGCGUUGGAUUAGCUAGUUGGUAUGGUAAAAGCCUACCAAGGCGACGAUCCAUAGCUGGUCUGAGAGGAUGAUCAGCCACACUGGGACUGAGACACGGCCCAGACUCCUACGGGAGGCAGAAGUGGGGAAUAUUGGACAAUGGGCGAAAGCCUGAUCCAGCAAUGCCGCGUGAGUGAUGAAGGCCUUAGGGUUGUAAAGCUCUUUUACCCGGGAUGAUAAUGACAGUACCGGGAGAAUAAGCUCCGGCUAACUCCGUG
This 433-nucleotide ribosomal RNA is filed under the name uncultured bacterium. RNAcentral's name for it is "partial 16S ribosomal RNA". It matches the Rfam family "Bacterial small subunit ribosomal RNA", at positions 29 to 507 of the family's 1533-position model. The record is from RNAcentral.